ACAUUUUAUGAAAGGAGAGAAAGUUAGCACUCCCCUUGACAAGGAUGGAAGAGGUGCUUGGGCCUAACAGCAUAUAUACAAUUACCUCUGGCAUUGCCACCUCCUUUGUGGCAUCUAACCAUCAUUUUGG
RNAcentral lists this non-coding RNA (130 nucleotides) under Catagonus wagneri (Chacoan peccary). The record is from RNAcentral. Lineage: Eukaryota; Metazoa; Chordata; Mammalia; Artiodactyla; Tayassuidae.